Molecule: RNase P RNA, 401 nt
Filed under: marine eukaryotic metagenome
Description: Bacterial RNase P class A
Rfam family: Bacterial RNase P class A
About the family: Ribonuclease P (RNase P) is a ubiquitous endoribonuclease, found in archaea, bacteria and eukarya as well as chloroplasts and mitochondria.
Source: RNAcentral
GGAUAGGCGGCCGCUGCCGGUCCGGUUUGACCGGAAUCCGGUGGAGGAAAGUCCGAACACGACAGGACACGGUGGUGGAUAACGUCCACCGGCUCUCAAUCGUCGAGCCAGGGACAGUGCCACAGAAAGGAAACCGCCGGCGGUUCUUCGGAACCUCGGUAAGGGUGAAAGGGUGCGGUAAGAGCGCACCGCCCGGUCGGUGACGACCGGGGCAGGGUAAACCCCACCGCGUGCAAGCGCAAGCAGUCUUCUGUGAUCAGCGUGCUGAUCACGUCCGUAGUCCGCGGGUGAAGGCGGGUAGCGUGCUCGAGGCCAUCGGCAACGGUGGUCCCAGAUGAAUGGUCGCCACCUUCCGGCCUCGUCGACGACCGGGCUGGUAGGGACAGGAUUCGGCUUAUUUC